AACCUUUACACUGCACGACAGUGCGAUAGGGGGACUCCGAGUGCGAGGGCAUAUAGCCCUCGCUUUUCUGUACCGUAAGGUGGUACAGGAACAAGGACUGGGCAAGACCGGUGCCAGCCGCCGCGGUAAUACCGGCAGUCCGAGUGAUGGCCGAUAUUAUUGGGCCUAAAGCGUCCGUAGCUUGCUGUGUAAGUCCAUUGGGAAAUCGACCAGCUCAACUGGUCGGCGUCCGGUGGAAACUACACAGCUUGGGGCCGAGAGACUCAACGGGUACGUCCGGGGUAGGAGUGAAAUCCUGUAAUCCUGGACGGACCACCAAUGGGGAAACCACGUUGAGAGACCGGACCCGACAGUGAGGGACGAAAGCCAGGGUCUCGAACCGGAUUAGAUACCCGGGUAGUCCUGGCUGUAAACAAUGCUCGCUAGGUAUGUCACGCGCCAUGAGCACGUGAUGUGCCGUAGUGAAGACGAUAAGCGAGCCGCCUGGGAAGUACGUCCGCAAGGAUGAAACUUAA
RNAcentral lists this ribosomal RNA (515 nucleotides) under uncultured archaeon. RNAcentral describes it as "bacterial SSU rRNA". It matches the Rfam family "Archaeal small subunit ribosomal RNA", at positions 345 to 859 of the family's 1478-position model. The record is from RNAcentral.